AACGUAGGAGCCAAGCGUUAUCCGAAUUCACUGGGCGUAAAGGGCAAGCAGGCGGACCGCUAAGUUGGAUGUGAAACCUCCUGGCUCAACUGGGAGAGGACGUACAAGACUGGCGGACUAGAGGGCAGGCGAGGGAGGUGGAAUUCCCGGUGUAGUGGUGAAAUGCGUAGAUAUCGGGAGGAACACCAGUGGCGAAAGCGGCCUCCUGGACUGUGCCUGACGCUGAGCUGCGAAAGCUAGGGGAG
Molecule: ribosomal RNA, 245 nt
Filed under: uncultured bacterium
Lineage: Bacteria
Description: partial 16S ribosomal RNA
Rfam family: Bacterial small subunit ribosomal RNA
Source: RNAcentral